AGCAGUGUCCUUGUUGAGCCAUUGGCACCCUUGGCCCCAGGGGGCCCCCCCAAUCUGGACUCUGCCACUGGGGUCUCCUGAUUCUCCAUCAUGUCCUUCUCCUGGACUUUCUUCUGUAGUUCCUGGUUCUGUACAGAACAGGCAGCCACCCUAGGGGGUGCGGAGAGGUGGCACGAGGUUCUGCCAUCCCGCGUCCCUGGCCUGGCCCGCCUUGGUGAGGAAGCGGGCCCCAGGCUGGCCCGCAGGAAGCCAGAACCGGGAGCCCAACACACCUGCUCUCCAGUCCAUCGAUAUACUCCUUCUUCCGCCGCCGACUGUCCUGGGCCGACUGCUUGUUCCGGAUUUUCCUCCGGACCUUCUUGAGGACCCUCUCCUCUGCCUGGGGGCCCAGAGAACAAGGCUUGACAGGACAGCUGGCGGGGGACAGAAGAUGCGCGGGAAGAGGGUCAUCCCGUUUCCAGCACCCAGGUGCUCCCCCACAGGCCUUCUAGAGAGUGGGUCCCGUGUGCACUGAGGGGUACCUGACCAGGGCAUGAGGUGAGGGCAGGGACCUGGAUUCAGGCUCUGGGUCAUGCCACUGGGGCCUCUGGAGGCCGAGAGGGGAGAGAGGAACUGGUUUUGUCAUCUCCUUUGUCCAGACUCUGGACCUCAGCACCCUGAGCAAGCUAGAGAGGGCCCGUUCUGUCCCGCACGUCCCUGAACCUCAGGGGUAUCUGGAGGGACGUGGAGUAACUCGCUAAGGUACGGUUUGCUAAUCUCGCAGCAGGCAAUGGUUCACUUUGAGCCAUUUCUUUUGUUUGCAGAGCGUAGUAUCCAGUCACCUGUCACCCACAGCAAGCCACCUGGGACAGUGUCUCAUUCUCCCUGAGGGCAACCAGACUGAUCAACUUCUCCUAUGAAAAUAUGUGGGGAGGACAGAAAAGUGUCGUGUUCCCGUCAGCUGAGUGACUUGCCUUUCUAAUGGUGCUUUUUGGAAGAUUUGUUUCACUCGUGACUUCAGAAGAAUUUGCUUUUGAUUUUGCC
Long non-coding RNA from Pteropus alecto (black flying fox), 1023 nucleotides. RefSeq lists it as uncharacterized. The transcript is spliced from 3 exons. The record is from RefSeq and is a predicted model, not a curated record. NCBI's taxonomy places the organism in Eukaryota, Metazoa, Chordata, Mammalia, Chiroptera, Pteropodidae.